RNAcentral lists this long non-coding RNA (977 nucleotides) under Chrysolophus pictus (golden pheasant). Its description in RNAcentral is "lncRNA (ENSCPIG00010003328.1)". Lineage: Eukaryota; Metazoa; Chordata; Aves; Galliformes; Phasianidae. The record is from RNAcentral.
GUCAGAUGCUAUUAAAGUUUUACUGAAUUAAAUUGAAGAAACUAAUUUUGCUCUUAGUAUUUUAUUUCAGUGUGUAACUUGAUUUUUAAGAAGCACUUUGUAUGGCGUGGCCAUUUGCAUUUGCUUUAUAAGCAUAACAUAAAGGUUUCCCUGGAGUCAUGGAUAAAUUGCCUUCUACGUCCCCAUCCUAAUUAACACCAUGUAUGUUGCCUAACUCCUUAUAAUUCACCCCCGUGCACAGUAUAUAGAACAUGAUUGGAAAAAUAAUUUGAAGCAAUGAGAAAAAAAAACUUUUGUCAUAUAUAGGAUACAGCCAAGUACAUUCCCAAUCAAAUUAGAUUAAAAAAGAAAGGACAGCGGCGCUGAGACAUCUGGCGUUGAAAAUAGACACCGAAGGCUUAAUUAAAAUGUGUGGCUGUGUUUUUAAAGGAGACUGCAGCAAAAGACAGACACAAAACCCUAACAGCGUGGGGACCUGGCCACGUCUCUGUGACCACGUUGGAGCUGCCCCAGUCCUCGGGAGAGUUCCCAACCCUGCAGCUCGUUCUGCAGCCCCAAUAAUUGCAGGGCUGGGGUCUGCCAUGGGGACACAGACUGAUGAGCUGCUGCAGCUGACCUGGAAGACUAAUGCAAUUUGGAGAGAGAGCAAGUGUCAGAGGGCUCAGUUCUCUAGUGCACCAGCAAUGGGACCAAACUCCAACUGGAGAGGUUAACUCCUUACCCCCUGCUCGUUCACACAAGUUAAUCAGAUCGUGUGUGUGUGAUCCAGGACAUUGCUGCAGGACAUUGCUGCACCCUGCAUCAAUUACACAUGGAGGCAGGCAAAGAACUGAAGAGCCUACAGCUGCUCAACAGCAGCACUUGUCACAUCAGCCAAAGCAGCUGUCACAUCGUCUGGGAUCUGCCCCACCCCUGGAGGUGUCCAAGGAAGAGAAAGAAAGAAAGAAAGAAAACUGUCCACCCUUUUCAGAAACCAC